This 496-nucleotide ribosomal RNA is filed under the name uncultured bacterium. RNAcentral describes it as "partial 16S ribosomal RNA". It matches the Rfam family "Bacterial small subunit ribosomal RNA", at positions 28 to 506 of the family's 1533-position model. The record is from RNAcentral.
GAUGAACGCUGGCGGCGUGCCUAAUACAUGCAAGUCGAGCGAACAGACGAGGAGCUUGCUCCUCUGACGUUAGCGGCGGACGGGUGAGUAACACGUGGAUAACCUACCUAUAAGACUGGGAUAACUUCGGGAAACCGGAGCUAAUACCGGAUAAUAUAUUGAACCGCAUGGUUCAAUAGUGAAAGACGGUUUUGCUGUCACUUAUAGAUGGAUCCGCGCCGCAUUAGCUAGUUGGUAAGGUAACGGCUUACCAAGGCAACGAUGCGUAGCCGACCUGAGAGGGGGAUCGGCCACCCGGGAACUGAACAACGGCCAAAACCCCAAGGGGAGGCAGCAGUAGGGAAUUUUCCGAAAAGGGCGAAAGCCUGACGGAGCAACGCCGGGGGGGUGAUGAAGGUCUUCGGAUGGUAAAACUUUUUUAUUAGGGAAAAAAAAAUGUGAAAGUAACUAUGCACGUUUUGACGGUACCUAAUCAGAAAGCCACGGUAAACUACGG